UUCCUACGGGGGGCAGCAGUGGGGGAUAUUGCACAAUGGGGGGAACCCUGAUGCAGCGACGCCGCGUGGGCGAUGGAGUGCUUCGGCAUGUAAAGCCCUAUCAGCAGGGAAGAAAAUGACGGUACCUGACUAAGAAGCCCCGGCUAACUACGUGCCAGCAGCCGCGGUAAUACGUAGGGGGCAAGCGUUAUCCGGAUUUACUGGGUGUAAAGGGUGCGUAGGUGGCAGGGCAAGUCAGAUGUGAAAGCCCGGGGCUCAACCCCGGUACUGCAUUUGAAACUGUCCAGCUGGAGUGCAGGAGAGGG
RNAcentral lists this ribosomal RNA (305 nucleotides) under uncultured bacterium. RNAcentral describes it as "bacterial SSU rRNA". It matches the Rfam family "Bacterial small subunit ribosomal RNA", at positions 336 to 658 of the family's 1533-position model. The record is from RNAcentral.